UCCACAGAGGCGGUCUAUUCUGGUGUCACUCAGGCCCCAGAUUCCCGGUCGUGAUGACAGAACAGAGUGCAACACUGAAAUGUACUCAGGAUCUGGGUCAUGACCACGAGUACUGGUACCGACAAGACCUGGGACAUGGGCUGAGGCUGAUCCACUACUCAGUUGUUGCUCCCACCCCGGAGAAAGAAGACGUGCCCGACAGGUGGAGCAUCUCCAGACCAAACACAGAGCACUUCCCUCUCAUGUUGGAGUCUGCCAACCACUCCCAGACAUCUGUGUACUUCUGUGGCAGCAGUUACUGCACAGCGCUGCGUGGCCACCUCCUCUCUGUGCAGAAAGACAGGUGGCCCACGUGCAGGCUCCGAGCAUCGGAAGCCUCAGAGGUUGCAGACCACGUGCCUGCAGUGUGACCCUGAUGUGUGGACUAGGUUGG
Bubalus bubalis (water buffalo) is the source of this 433-nucleotide non-coding RNA. The record is from the annotation of a RefSeq genome assembly. Lineage: Eukaryota; Metazoa; Chordata; Mammalia; Artiodactyla; Bovidae.